Molecule: ribosomal RNA, 497 nt
Filed under: uncultured bacterium
Lineage: Bacteria
Description: partial 16S ribosomal RNA
Rfam family: Bacterial small subunit ribosomal RNA
Source: RNAcentral
GAUGAACGCUGGCGGCGUGCCUAAUACAUGCAAGUCGAGCGAACGGACGAGAAGCUUGCUUCUCUGAUGUUAGCGGCGGACGGGUGAGUAACACGUGGAUAACCUACCUAUAAGACUGGGAUAACUUCGGGAAACCGGAGCUAAUACCGGAUAAUAUUUUGAACCGCAUGGUUCAAAAGUGAAAGACGGUCUUGCUGUCACUUAUAGAUGGAUCCGCGCUGCAUUAGCUAGUUGGUAAGGUAACGGCUUACCAAGGCAACGAUGCAUAGCCGACCUGAGAGGGUGAUCGGACACACUGGAACUGAGACACAGUCCAGACUCCUACAGGAGGCAGCAGUAGGGAAUCUUCCGCAAUGGGCGAAUGCCUGACGGAGCAACGCCGCGUGAGUGAUGAAGGUCUUAGGAUCGUAAAACUCUGUUAUUAGGGAAGAACAUAUGUGUAAGUAACUGUGCACAUCUUGACGGUACCUAAUCAGAAAGCCACGGCUAACUACGUG